This 253-nucleotide ribosomal RNA is filed under the name uncultured bacterium. Its description in RNAcentral is "partial 16S ribosomal RNA". It matches the Rfam family "Bacterial small subunit ribosomal RNA", at positions 524 to 776 of the family's 1533-position model. The record is from RNAcentral.
UACGGGGGGGGCAAGCGUUGUUCGGAAUUACUGGGCGUAAAGGGCGCGUAGGCGGUUCGCUAAGUUGGAUGUGAAAACUCUGGGCUCAACCCAGAGCCUGCAUCCAAAACUGGCGGGCUAGAGUUCUGGAGGGGGUAGCGGAAUUCCUGGUGUAGCGGUGAAAUGCGUAGAGAUCAUGAGGAAGACCAGUGGCGAAGGCGGGUCUCUGGACAGUUCCUGACACUGAGGCACGAAGGCCAGGGGAGCAAACGGG